AUUGUAAUAACUGCUUCGCGCAGCCAAGAAAAACGCUAAUGUUUUACGUUACUACAUGCGCCCACGUGUACUGCCAGACUUGCAAGGAAGACUGCACUCGAGGCUCGUGUAAGAUGUGUGGUGCUACGUGCUCGACCGCUGCAUUGUCUCAAGACAUGAGCCCGGAGGUUCGGGAGCUUUUCAGGGACCCUAAACAAAUGUUCAAUAAGGCGGUUAUGGUA
This is a long non-coding RNA of Rhipicephalus microplus (southern cattle tick), 221 nucleotides long. NCBI's taxonomy places the organism in Eukaryota, Metazoa, Arthropoda, Arachnida, Ixodida, Ixodidae. The record is from RefSeq and is a predicted model, not a curated record.